GGUUCUAUGAUGUAGUGGUUAGCACUCUGGGCUUUGAAUCCAGUGGUGUGAGUUCAAAUCUCUGUGGAACCU
This is a non-coding RNA of Oryzias latipes (Japanese medaka), 72 nucleotides long. The record is from Rfam. NCBI's taxonomy places the organism in Eukaryota, Metazoa, Chordata, Actinopteri, Beloniformes, Adrianichthyidae.